This 440-nucleotide ribosomal RNA is filed under the name uncultured bacterium. RNAcentral describes it as "partial 16S ribosomal RNA". It matches the Rfam family "Bacterial small subunit ribosomal RNA", at positions 338 to 795 of the family's 1533-position model. The record is from RNAcentral.
CCUACGGGUGGCAGCAGUAGGGAAUAUUGCUCAAUGGGGGAAACCCUGAAGCAGCAACGCCGCGUGGAGGAUGAAGGUUUUCGGAUUGUAAACUCCUUUUGUUAGAGAAGAUAAUUACGGUAUCUAACGAAUAAGCACCGGCUACCUCGGUGCCAGCAGCCGCGGUAAUACGGAGGGUGCAAGCGUUACCCGGAAUCACUGGGCGUAAAGAGCGCGUAGGCGGGGUAGCAAGUCAGAUGUGAAUUCCUAUGGCUUAACCAUAGAACUGCAUUUGAAACUGUUAGUCUAGAGUAUGGGAGGGGUAGGUGGAAUUCUUGGUGUAGGGGUGAAAUCCGUAGAGAUCGAGAGGAAUACUCAUUGCGAAGGCGGGCUGCUAGAACAUAACUGACGCUGAUGCGCGAAAGCGUGGGGAGCAAACAGGAUUAGAUACCCGGGUAGUC